This 633-nucleotide unclassified non-coding RNA is filed under the name Hevea brasiliensis (rubber tree). Lineage: Eukaryota; Viridiplantae; Streptophyta; Magnoliopsida; Malpighiales; Euphorbiaceae. The record is from RNAcentral.
UAAGAUCCAAUGUUUAUUGAAUGAACAUUAUUUAAAUUUAUGUAGGGUCUGAAAUGAUAUUUGUUUUAUAUUGGAUCCAUUAUUUACGAUUUAAAGCCCCCAAACAAAUUUUCCUGUAGUGUUGCAUUUCUUUUGCUCUAUUAAAUUAGCAUCUUAACUUAUACUUUAAAUAUUUUGCUUUGAAGAACUGUGACGACAAAUAAUUUCAUUUCAUUUUUGACACUUCUGUAAUGCAAGAUAUUGCACAAAGCCUCCUGUUGAGCAUUUAUAAUUCUUGAAGGGACUAAUAAUCAUAGUUUCUUUUUGCUUGUUUUAGUUCUUUGUGCACUGCACUUCGAGCAUGGCUGUUUGCUUCUGCCAGUGAAAGAGUUGUCGCUCGUUUGAGAAAGGACUUAUUCAGCCACCUAAUCAACCAGGUGAAGUCCCCUAGUUUUUGAACAUAUAAAACCUCGAGGAUGUGCAAUCCUUUUUAUUCCUGAUCCACUAUAUUAAUUAGUCUUUAUGGAUUUCCAAUCUACUGAAAAACUGUGAAUUUUCUGUUUCAUGCAAAAUUGAAGCAUAAUAAAAUAGCUGGUUAAAGAUAUUAAAGCCUGUGGGAGUCAUUUUAAGAUAUUAGUUUGCAAGUUGUUGUUG